CCGUAGCCUGGUAGCGGGGGAUAACUAUUGGAAACGAUAGCUAAUACCGCAUAAUAUUAAUUAUUGCAUGAUAAUUGAUUGAAAGAUGCAACUGCAUCACUACCAGAUGGACCUGCGUUGUAUUAGCUAGUAGGUGAGGUAACGGCUCACCUAGGCGACGAUACAUAGCCGACCUGAGAGGGUGAUCGGCCACACUGGGACUGAGACACGGCCCAG
Molecule: ribosomal RNA, 216 nt
Filed under: uncultured bacterium
Lineage: Bacteria
Description: partial 16S ribosomal RNA
Rfam family: Bacterial small subunit ribosomal RNA
Source: RNAcentral